RNAcentral lists this ribosomal RNA (699 nucleotides) under Vreelandella boliviensis. Its description in RNAcentral is "bacterial SSU rRNA". It matches the Rfam family "Bacterial small subunit ribosomal RNA", at positions 72 to 771 of the family's 1533-position model. The record is from RNAcentral. Lineage: Bacteria; Pseudomonadati; Pseudomonadota; Gammaproteobacteria; Oceanospirillales; Halomonadaceae.
GAUCUAGCUUGCUAGAUGCUGACGAGCGGCGGACGGGUGAGUAAUGCAUAGGAAUCUGCCCGGUAGUGGGGGAUAACCUGGGGAAACCCAGGCUAAUACCGCAUACGUCCUACGGGAGAAAGGGGGCUCCGGCUCCCGCUAUUGGAUGAGCCUAUGUCGGAUUAGCUGGUUGGUGAGGUAAUGGCUCACCAAGGCGACGAUCCGUAGCUGGUCUGAGAGGAUGAUCAGCCACAUCGGGACUGAGACACGGCCCGAACUCCUACGGGAGGCAGCAGUGGGGAAUAUUGGACAAUGGGGGGAACCCUGAUCCAGCCAUGCCGCGUGUGUGAAGAAGGCCCUCGGGUUGUAAAGCACUUUCAGCGAGGAAGAACGCCUGGUGGUUAAUACCCAUCAGGAAAGACAUCACUCGCAGAAGAAGCACCGGCUAACUCCGUGCCAGCAGCCGCGGUAAUACGGAGGGUGCAAGCGUUAAUCGGAAUUACUGGGCGUAAAGCGCGCGUAGGUGGCUUGAUAAGCCGGUUGUGAAAGCCCCGGGCUCAACCUGGGAACGGCAUCCGGAACUGUCAAGCUAGAGUACAGGAGAGGAAGGUAGAUUCCCCGGUGUAGCGGUGAAAUGCGUAGAGAUCGGGAGGAAUACCAGUGGCGAAGGCGGCCUUCUGGACUGAUACUGACACUGAGGUGCGAAAGCGUGGGUAGCAA